RNAcentral lists this ribosomal RNA (253 nucleotides) under uncultured bacterium. RNAcentral describes it as "partial 16S ribosomal RNA". It matches the Rfam family "Bacterial small subunit ribosomal RNA", at positions 524 to 776 of the family's 1533-position model. The record is from RNAcentral.
UACAGAGGCCUCAAGCGUUGUUCGGAAUCACUGGGCGUAAAGGGUGUGUAGGCUGCACGAAAAGUCGGAUGUGAAAUCCGGGGGCUCAACCCCCGAAUUGCAUUCGAUACUGUCGAGCUAGAGUGCUGAAAAGGAGUCUGGAAUUCUCGGUGUAGCAGUGAAAUGCGUAGAUAUCGAGAGGAACACUAGUUGCGAAGGCGAGACUCUGGUCAGCAACUGACGCUGAGACACGAAGGCUAGGGUAGCAAACGGG